CGCACGGGUGAGUAACGCGUAAGUAAUCUACCCUGGCAUCUGGGAUAACCCACCGAAAGGUGAGCUAAUACCUGAUACGUUGAUUUAUCAAGAAAGGUGGCCUCUUCAUGAAAGCUACUGUGCUGGGAGGAGCUUGCGUACCAUUAGCUAGUUGGUAGGGUAAAGGCCUACCAAGGCGACGAUGGUUAGCGGGUCUAAGAGGAUGAUCCGCCACACUGGAACUGGAACACGGACCAG
Molecule: ribosomal RNA, 237 nt
Filed under: uncultured bacterium
Lineage: Bacteria
Description: partial 16S ribosomal RNA
Rfam family: Bacterial small subunit ribosomal RNA
Source: RNAcentral